Molecule: long non-coding RNA, 224 nt
Filed under: Lathyrus oleraceus (garden pea)
Lineage: Eukaryota; Viridiplantae; Streptophyta; Magnoliopsida; Fabales; Fabaceae
Description: Pisum sativum (pea) long non-coding RNA (PSAT_LNC037640)
Source: RNAcentral
GUGAGCUUUAGGACACCUAGGAAUAGAGUGAUUCAUGGGAAGUGGGUGGUGUGGCGCCACUUAGCGGAACAUGAUAUCACGAGCAGUUCAUAUUCUGAUGGGGUAUUAUCGUUACAUACAUCUGGUGUGUAUAUGAUGAUAUUCUUGAAAGGGUCGUUUAUCCUGCAUUUCUCUUGACCUUACCCUGGCCUAGAUGACACCCGUGAGUGGGGAGGGAAUGAAUC